GAGUAAUGUCUGGGAAACUGCCUGAUGGAGGGGGAUAACUACUGGAAACGGUGGCUAAUACCGCAUAACGUCGCAAGACCAAAGAGGGGGACCUUCGGGCCUCUUGCCAUCAGAUGUGCCCAGAUGGGAUUAGCUUGUUGGUGAGGUAACGGCUCACCAAGGCGACGAUCCCUAGCUGGUCUGAGAGGAUGACCAGCCACACUGGAACUGAGACACGGUCCAGACUCCUACGGGAGGCAGCAGUGGGGAAUAUUGCACAAUGGGCGCAAGCCUGAUGCAGCCAUGCCGCGUGUAUGAAGAAGGCCUUCGGGUUGUAAAGUACUUUCAGCGGGGAGGAAGGUGUUGUGGUUAAUAACCACAGCAAUUGACGUUACCCGCAGAAGAAGCACCGGCUAACUCCGUGCCAGCAGCCGCGGUAAUACGGAGGGUGCAAGCGUUAAUCGGAAUUACUGGGCGUAAAGCGCACGCAGGCGGUCUGUCAAGUCGGAUGUGAAAUCCCCGGGCUCAACCUGGGAACUGCAUUCGAAACUGGCAGGCUUGAGUCUUGUAGAGGGGGGUAGAAUUCCAGGUGUAGCGGUGAAAUGCGUAGAGAUCUGGAGGAAUACCGGUGGCGAAGGCGGCCCCCUGGACAAAGACUGACGCUCAGGUGCGAAAGCGUGGGGAGCAAACAGGAUUAGAUACCCUGGUAGUCCACGCCGUAAACGAUGUCUACUUGGAGGUUGUGCCCUUGAGGCGUGGCUUCCGGAGCUAACGCGUUAAGUAGACCGCCUGGGGAGUACGGCCGCAAGGUUAAAACUCAAAUGAAUUGACGGGGGCCCGCACAAGCGGUGGAGCAUGUGGUUUAAUUCGAUGCAACGCGAAGAACCUUACCUGGUCUUGACAUCCACGGAAGUUUUCAGAGAUGAGAAUGUGCCUUCGGGAACCGUGAGACAGGUGCUGCAUGGCUGUCGUCAGCUCGUGUUGUGAAAUGUUGGGUUAAGUCCCGCAACGAGCGCAACCCUUAUCCUUUGUUGCCAGCGAUUAGGUCGGGAACUCAAAGGAGACUGCCAGUGAUAAACUGGAGGAAGGUGGGGAUGACGUCAAGUCAUCAUGGCCCUUACGACCAGGGCUACACACGUGCUACAAUGGCGCAUACAAAGAGAAGCGACCUCGCGAGAGCAAGCGGACCUCAUAAAGUGCGUCGUAGUCCGGAUUGGAGUCUGCAACUCGACUCCAUGAAGUCGGAAUCGCUAGUAAUCGUGGAUCAGAAUGCCACGGUGAAUACGUUCCCGGGCCUUGUACACACCGCCCGUCACACCAUGGGAGUGGGUUGCAAAAGAAGUAGGUAGCUUAACCUUCGGGAGGGCGCUUACCACUUUGUGAUUCAUGACUGGGGUGAAGUCGUAACAAGGUAACCGUAGGGGAACCUGCGGUUGGAUCACCUCCUUACCUUAAAGAAGC
Molecule: ribosomal RNA, 1440 nt
Filed under: Salmonella enterica
Lineage: Bacteria; Pseudomonadati; Pseudomonadota; Gammaproteobacteria; Enterobacterales; Enterobacteriaceae
Description: bacterial SSU rRNA
Rfam family: Bacterial small subunit ribosomal RNA
Source: RNAcentral